CCUACGGGUGGCUGCAGUCGAGAAUCAUUCACAAUGGGGGAAACCCUGAUGGUGCGACGCCGCGUGGGGGAAUGAAGGUCUUCGGAUUGUAAGCCCCUGUCAUGUGGGAGCAAAUGACAAUGAUAGUACCACAAGAGGAAGAUACGGCUAACUCUGUGCCCGCAGCCACGGUAAUACAGAGGUCUCAAGCGUUGUUCGGAUUCACUGGGGGUAAAGCGUGCGUAGGCGGUUGCGUAAGUCGUGUGUGAAAGGCGCGGGCUCAACCCGCGGACGGAACCUGAUACUGCGAGACUAGAGUAAGGGAGGGGGAACUGGAAUUCGCGGUGUAGCAGUGAAAUGCGUAGAUAUCGAGAGGAACACUCGUGGCGAAGGCGGGUUCCUGGACAGUAACUGACGCUGAGGCACGAAGGCCAGGGGAGCGAAAGGGAUUAGAUACCCGAGUAGUC
RNAcentral lists this ribosomal RNA (446 nucleotides) under uncultured bacterium. Its description in RNAcentral is "partial 16S ribosomal RNA". It matches the Rfam family "Bacterial small subunit ribosomal RNA", at positions 338 to 795 of the family's 1533-position model. The record is from RNAcentral.